CCCGACUGCUAUCAGAGUAGGACUAAGCCAUGCGAGUCAACGUAUGAAUAAUACGUGGCGAACGGCUCAGUAACACGUAGUCAAUAUGCCCAAAGGACGUGGAUAACCUCGGGAAACUGAGGAUAAACCACGAUAGGUCAUAAUUACUGGAAUGUAUUAUGGCUCAAAUCUAUAUGGCCUCUGGAUUGGACUGCGGCCGAUCAGGCUGUUGGUGAGGUAAUGGCCCACCAAACCUGUAACCGGUACGGGCUCUGAGAGGAGGAGCCCGGAGAUGGGCACUGAGACAAGGGCCCAGGCCCUAUGGGGCGCAGCAGGCGCGAAACCUCUGCAAUGGGCGAAAGCCUGACAGGGUUACUCUGAGUGAUUUCCGCUAAGGGAAUCUUUUGGCACCUCUAAAAAUGGUGCAGAAUAAGGGGUGGGCAAGUCUGGUGUCAGCCGCCGCGGUAAUACCAGCACCCCGAGUGGUCGGGACGAUUAUUGGGCCUAAAGCAUCCGUAGCCGGUCUUGCAAGUCUUCCGUUAAAUCCACCUGCUUAACAGAUGGGCUGCGGAGGAUACUAUAAGGCUAGGAGGCGGGAGAGGCAAGCGGUACUCAGUGGGUAGGGGUAAAAUCCUCUGAUCCAUUGAAGACCACCAGUGGCGAAGGCGGCUUGCCAGAACGCGCUCGACGGUGAGGGAUGAAAGCUGGGGGAGCAAACCGGAUUAGAUACCCGGGUAGUCCCAGCUGUAAACGAUGCAGACUCGGUGAUGGGCCGGCUUUAUGCCGGCUCAGUGCCGCAGGGAAGCCGUUAAGUCUGCCGCCUGGGGAGUACGGUCGCAAGACUGAAACUUAAAGGAAUUGGCGGGGGAGC
This 850-nucleotide ribosomal RNA is filed under the name uncultured Nitrososphaerota archaeon. Its description in RNAcentral is "bacterial SSU rRNA". It matches the Rfam family "Archaeal small subunit ribosomal RNA", at positions 21 to 877 of the family's 1478-position model. The record is from RNAcentral. Lineage: Archaea; Thermoproteati; Nitrososphaerota.